Molecule: ribosomal RNA, 532 nt
Filed under: uncultured bacterium
Lineage: Bacteria
Description: bacterial SSU rRNA
Rfam family: Bacterial small subunit ribosomal RNA
Source: RNAcentral
AGUGAACGCUGGCGGCGUGCCUAACACAUGCAAGUCGAACGGGCUAGUGCUUCGCACUAGUCUCUUUCUGGGGUUGUUACUCUAAGGCUACCUGCUAAAGUUAUUGCUUUAAAGCAGGGGUUUUAGGAGACUUUCCCCGAAAGGGGCCAGUGCGGAGCACUGGCCAGUGGCGAACGGGUGAGUAACACGUGGGUAAUCUACCCUCGAGUGGGGAAUAAGCUUCCGAAAGGGGGUCUAAUGCCGCAUAACGUUUCAUAACGAUGGUUAUGAAACCAAAGCCCAAAAGGCGCUCGAGGAGGAGCCUGCGUCCUAUCAGCUUGUUGGCAGGGUAAUGGCCUACCAAGGCUAUGACGGGUAGCCGGCCUGAGAGGGUGUCCGGCCACACUGGAACUGAGACACGGUCCAGACUCCUACGGGAGGCAGCAGUGGGGAAUUUUGCGCAAGUGGGGAAACCCUGACGCAGUGACGCCGCGUGCAGGAAGGAGCCCGUUCGGGGUGUAAACGUGCUGUCGUGUAGGGAGAAGGGUACUAA